RNAcentral lists this ribosomal RNA (795 nucleotides) under uncultured Pelagibacteraceae bacterium. RNAcentral's name for it is "bacterial SSU rRNA". It matches the Rfam family "Bacterial small subunit ribosomal RNA", at positions 44 to 888 of the family's 1533-position model. The record is from RNAcentral. Lineage: Bacteria; Pseudomonadati; Pseudomonadota; Alphaproteobacteria; Candidatus Pelagibacterales; Candidatus Pelagibacteraceae.
ACGCCUUAUACAUGCAAGUCGAACGAAGUAGCAAUACUUAGUGGCAGACGGGUGAGUAACAUGUGGGAAUCUUCCCUUUGGAGAGAAAUAACACGAGGAAACUUGUGCUAAUGUCUCAUAAGUCUUUACGGAGAAAGCUUUUGCGCCAAAGGAUGAGCCCGCACUUGAUUAGUUUGUUGGCAGGGUAAUGGCCUACCAAGACUGUGAUCAAUAGCUGAUUUGAGAGGAUGAUCAGCCACAUUGGGACUGAGACACGGCCCAAACUCCUACGGGAGGCAGCAGUAAGGAAUCUUGCACAAUGGAGGAAACUCUGAUGCAGCGAUGCCGCGUGAGUGAAGAAGGCCUUUGGGUUGUAAAGCUCUUUCGUCGGGGAAGAAAAUGACGGUACCCGAAUAAGAAGGUCCGGCUAACUUCGUGCCAGCAGCCGCGGUAAUACGAAGGGACCUAGCGUAGUUCGGAAUUACUGGGCUUAAAGAGUUCGUAGGCGGUUAAAAAAGUUGGUGGUGAAAUCCCAGAGCUUAACUCUGGAACUGCCAUCAAAACUUUUUAGCUAGAGUAUGAUAGAGGAAAGCAGAAUUUCUAGUGUAGAGGUGAAAUUCGUAGAUAUUAGAAAGAAUACCAAUUGCGAAGGCAGCUUUCUGGAUCAUUACUGACGCUGAGGAACGAAAGCAUGGGUAGCGAAGAGGAUUAGAUACCCUCGUAGUCCAUGCUGUAAACGAUGUGUGUUAGACGUUGGAAAUUUAUUUUCAGUGUCGCAGCGAAAGCAGUAAACACACCGCCUGGGGAGUACGACCG